GGGAAUGCGGCAGCUACACAUGCAGUCGAACGGUAGCACAGAGAGCUUGCUCUCGGGUGACGAGUGGCGGACGGGUGAGUAAUGUCUGGGAAACUGCCUGAUGGAGGGGGAUAACUACUGGAAACGGUAGCUAAUACCGCAUAACGUCGCAAGACCAAAGAGGGGGACCUUCGGGCCUCUUGCCAUCAGAUGUGCCCAGAUGGGAUUAGCUAGUAGGUGGGGUAACGGCUCACCUAGGCGACGAUCCCUAGCUGGUCUGAGAGGAUGACCAGCCACACUGGAACUGAGACACGGUCCAGACUCCUACGGGAGGCAGCAGUGGGGAAUAUUGCACAAUGGGCGCAAGCCUGAUGCAGCCAUGCCGCGUGUAUGAAGAAGGCCUUCGGGUUGUAAAGUACUUUCAGCGGGGAGGAAGGUGUUGUGGUUAAUAACCGCAGCAAUUGACGUUACCCGCAGAAGAAGCACCGGCUAACUCCGUGCCAGCAGCCGCGGUAAUACGGAGGGUGCAAGCGUUAAUCGGAAUUACUGGGCGUAAAGCGCACGCAGGCGGUCUGUCAAGUCGGAUGUGAAAUCCCCGGGCUCAACCUGGGGACUGCAUUCCAAACUGGGGCGCUUUAGUCUUGUAUACGGGGGUAGACAUCUCCGUGUGGCACUGCCACCAGUUCAAAUUUUUUGACGGAAUGGGAGUGCCGGGUGUCUC
RNAcentral lists this ribosomal RNA (700 nucleotides) under Enterobacter cloacae. RNAcentral's name for it is "bacterial SSU rRNA". It matches the Rfam family "Bacterial small subunit ribosomal RNA", at positions 37 to 728 of the family's 1533-position model. The record is from RNAcentral. Lineage: Bacteria; Pseudomonadati; Pseudomonadota; Gammaproteobacteria; Enterobacterales; Enterobacteriaceae.